CAGAACUAGUGUAUAUUUGGCCAAAAGGA
RNAcentral lists this non-coding RNA (29 nucleotides) under Mus musculus (house mouse). The record is from RNAcentral. Lineage: Eukaryota; Metazoa; Chordata; Mammalia; Rodentia; Muridae.